Molecule: long non-coding RNA, 2258 nt
Organism: Pan troglodytes (chimpanzee)
Lineage: Eukaryota; Metazoa; Chordata; Mammalia; Primates; Hominidae
Exons: 3
Source: RefSeq, a predicted model, not a curated record
AGGAGGAGGAAGCCGCCGGGCCUUACAACCCAUCUGGUUGGAAACGUCCCGCAGUGCCCGAGCCGCAGGAACCGGAGCCAAUUACAAGUUUAUAUAAUAGAGUCAGUCUCCCCGGGCCUCCCCUCUCCGCCCCACCCCUGCCGGCUUUGGGGAUGGGGGAGGAAACGCUUUCCGUGAAAUACAGGCUGGAUCUAGGACGGAGGAUGCCUUUUCUGGAUUGACAACUAGGGGCCAGUCCUGAGUGUGAGAAACUCCUGGGGUCCCGUUUUGGGAUCCGGACACCUCGGGCGCCGCGCAGGCCUCCUUGUGCCUCUGGAGCGGCCCCGCCUACGGGCCGGGACCUGGAAGGGAGGUGUCCGGGUCGAGCGUUCGCGCUGCUCCCCGCCGCACGGUGUGAGCUCGCAGGGUUUAUGUAACGCCUGCCCUUCGCGGAGGACCGUGUCAUGCCCGAAUCGCGGAGGAUGGAGGAGGCGGGGGCCUGGGCCGCGACGCCCGCCCACGUGACCGUCAGAUGACUGGGGUCUAAGUUUGCACGAGCUCCUUUACCGUAACGCUGAAGGCUCCUCAUCAACAUCGGCUCUUAGUCAUUCCCGAGUGACAUUUGAUAUGAGCAACAGCUCCGGACGGGGAAAUGGCAACGCGGAUGCUGAUGGAGACGACGAACGGCUGCUGCGACCGCCUCUGAUUUGGGCUGGAACGGGAGUUUAUGCGGAGUCAAGGAAACCCACCGCGAAGGGUGCCAGGGAAGACCAGGGCACUUUUCUAGACAAAGAAUCUUAGAUUCUUUGGGGCUAGAUGCAGAGAGUCCGGGAGAAACUGUUCACCGGGUGCCAGGCAGGCGGCUGACCACGCAAGCCACGCUUCAGAUUUGUGGGUUGGUUUUAGAAGUCACAUGAGGUCUGCCUGGACGCCCCUCCCGAUCACGUCAAUUAUCUGUCACAACUUCUCCAAGGCUGGAGUGCGCCCCAGGGACCAGCCCCAUGCCCCCAGCGGGGGAGUUGGUUACAGCUGCAGAAUCCCGGCCCCACCCCGCCUCCAGAGCACGAGCCUGCGCUAGAAGGAUAUCGCCAGGGGAUGGGGGGGAAUGGGAGGGGGGCGGGGAGGUGGUCACGGAUGCAGAGGCUGUCCUGGCUGCGGAGGCAAAAAGCCCGUCCCAAGCCCUGCAUGGGCUCCUACUGCACUUCAGGAUUUGGGGGAAUGCAGAAUCGUGGUCUUUGAGUUUUCAUUAAUUCAAUAAAGAUUUCUCAAAAGCCUAAAUUCUAGAUCCAAGACAGUGGGAAUUAAACAGGGCUGAAUAUGACGCUAUUGGCUAUACCAGGACCACGCCUGAGCAUUGCAUGCACGCUCCAGCUAUGCAUAACUUAUUUAUUUUAAAAGAAGGAAGGAAGAGAGGGAGGGAAACAAGGUGUUUCUUAAGAGUAGAGGAGGGGAGAGGCAACUUGUUGCUUUCACUGGCAGCAGUUAACUCCAUAAGCAAUUUCCUCACUUAAAAGAAAAACAAAUGAAGUAGAGUGGUAGGCUUUUGAAAGGAGGAGCAGAGAGCUCUGGUGAGUGGAAACCUGGCUUUUAUUUACCUUAGGGCCUUGUUAAAACACAUUUGCCUUGAGAUAAAAGGGUUUCUUUUGGGACGAUCCCAAAAUGACUUUGCUUGAUUCAAUUAAGCAAGACCUAACGAAAGAGAAUUCCAGCUUCAAGAUACGCAUCAUCUCACCAGAACAUUUUUAUCAACCCAGAAAGAAAUUCUGUCCCGCUGAGCAGCCAUUCUCCAGGACCCCCACCCCAGCCCCUGGCAACCACAGGUGUGCUUUGUGUGAAGAGAGGCUCUUCAGCUGAGACCUGAGGUGUGAACAGAAGUCAACUUGUCAGAUAGUGAGGGAAGGGAGACAACAGCGGGAACAGUAUCUAGCAGAGCAGAGGUGAAGGCAAGAAAUCAACAGACCUGCGUGGCCAGGGCACAGAAUAUGAAGGUGAAACGUGAAGCUUCAUAUGUCUGCUUUUGCACGGUGCACCGUGAUGAACCUCAACAUAAGAUACUGGUUUUGUUAAUCCCCAGGACACAAAGACAGGUUGGUGGUUAUUAAUGGAUUUCAAAAACGGGCAUCUUGACUUCAUCAUAUACAAUGGAUGGAAUCAAACCCGUAGGAGAUGAUGGUUGUGCUCAUAGGCUGAACUUAGAAGGACAUGAAAGCAGAACUGAUUUAUUUUCAGGUUUUAGGGAUCCAGUAGUGCAUUCGUAUUUCUGUUUAUUGACAUAUAUA